Molecule: long non-coding RNA, 345 nt
Filed under: Glycine max (soybean)
Lineage: Eukaryota; Viridiplantae; Streptophyta; Magnoliopsida; Fabales; Fabaceae
Description: long non-coding RNA (GMAX_LNC002003)
Source: RNAcentral
UUGUCUCAGUUGUAUGAAUAUAAAACAAUUAGUUAAGUAAUAUACAAUAAGGUAAAGUGAUUUAUAGAAUCCACAAUUGUAUAACAGAGAUGCUCAGACAUUGACCAUCAUGAGCUAUUUCUGAAAGAUCUUCAUGUUUUAUGUAAAAUGGGAAGUUAUCAUUAUACACUUCAAACACACUAGCAUCCCACGGAACCUGCAAUGGCUUGAGGAAAAGUUGCAGAAUGGUCAAUGUCAUGAGGUACAAGGGAUCGAUGUCAGGAUCUAGCAUAUCUAUAGGUUUCGUCAGUCCCUCAACAACAUGUUUAUCCUACAUGUUCUGAAAAAGGCUUUACAAAAUGUGUA